This 491-nucleotide ribosomal RNA is filed under the name uncultured bacterium. RNAcentral describes it as "partial 16S ribosomal RNA". It matches the Rfam family "Bacterial small subunit ribosomal RNA", at positions 29 to 507 of the family's 1533-position model. The record is from RNAcentral.
GUGCACGCUGGUGGUAGGCCUAACACAUGCAAGUCGAACGGCAGCACAGUAAGAGCUUGCUCUUACGGGUGGCGAGUGGCGGACGGGUGAGGAAUACAUCGGAAUCUACUUUUUCGUGGGGGAUAACGUAGGGAAACUUACGCUAAUACCGCAUACGACCUACGGGUGAAAGCAGGGGAUCUUCGGACCUUGCGCGAUUGAAUGAGCCGAUGUCGGAUUAGCUAGUUGGCGGGGUAAAGGCCCACCAAGGCGACGAUCCGUAGCUGGUCUGAGAGGAUGAUCAGCCACACUGGAACUGAGACACGGUCCAGACUCCUACGGGAGGCAGCAGUGGGGAAUAUUGGACAAUGGACGCAAGCCUGAUCCAGCCAUACCGCGUGGGUGAAGAAGGCCUUCGGGUCGUAAAGCCCUUUUGUUGGGAAAGAAAAGCAGCAGGUUAAUACCCCGCUGUUCUGACGGUACCCAAAGAAUAAGCACCGGCUAACUUCGUG